AUUAAAUAAGCUUAUGCUUCUUCCUGCUCCUUUUUGAACAUGAAAGUUAUUUGUUGUUGUGGUUGCUCGUUUUCCUUCUGUUUUGCUUUGUUUAUUUGUCUCUUUUUAAUUCUAUGUUGUUGUACUUUUUCAACAUGUUCAAAAUAAAGAAUCAAUCAAUCAAUCAAUCAAUCAAUCAAUCAAUCAAUCAAUCAAGAUGUUUAGUUUAGUUUUUUUGUUGUUUUUUUCCUGUCCCGUUUGGAUCUUUAGCCAUCAGAAUUGUUGUCUGAAGGCCAAGAAAGAUGCCAAGUGGAUUUAUUUUACCAAGUGGAUCAUCAUGGCCAUAUUGGUCCAUUUGAUUGAUCUUUAUUAUAAUUAUGUAUUUAUUUUAUUUUUUAAAGACAGGACAGACAUGACUGGGGGAUAGGACAGAAGAAUGAAAGAAAGAGAGAGAGAGAAAAACAGAGGGGAGAAGAGACGGUGAGAAAGGGGGGAAGGAAAAAAAAGAAAAACAAACCUGUAUGGAGAUAAAAAACCAGAAGAGAAAAACAACAACAAAGAGCAACAUAAUAAAAACAAUAGAUAACAGUAGAUACUUUUUUAAUUUCACCUGUUGAGAAUGAAAAAAGAAAACAAGCAGAAGAGAACGAGAGCAAUACAAUAAACAACAUCACAAUGAUAUAUGGGAAUAUGACAGUAAAUACUAAAUAUUAAACAUUAUUGUGCAGCACAUAAGAUCAACAGAACACAGUGUGUUGAUCCCCCCGAAGUGGCCCGAGCGAGCCCCAGGCUCCAGACCCCGACAAGCAGCCACCAAGGCCAGCUCCCCCGCUGACAGCUUCACCCAUGAAAUCCUUUUUAAUCAGCUGCAGGUAUUCACACCAACAACCUUCCUGUCAGCUGACACGAAACCACCGAAGCUGGUGCAGGCCCAGGAUCCUGCAGCAGCCACCAGGCCCAGGCUCUUCCAGCAGCCACCAGGCCCAGGCUCUUCCAGCAGCCACCAGGCCCAGGAUCCUGCAGCAGCCACCAGGCCCAGGAUCCUGCAGCAGCCACCAGGCCCAGGCUCUUCCAGCAGCCACCAGGCCCAGGAUCCUCCAGCAGCCACCAGGCCCAGGAUCCUGCAGCAGCCACC
This is a long non-coding RNA of Astatotilapia calliptera (eastern happy), 1114 nucleotides long. The record is from Ensembl. NCBI's taxonomy places the organism in Eukaryota, Metazoa, Chordata, Actinopteri, Cichliformes, Cichlidae.